AUGAUGAGGAGAGAGAAGAACUGGAUUCGGCUGUGGAUUAUUAUCACGAUACAAAUCCGUUGAAGAAUUAUGGGACGGCGAGAUUUAGACCUGAAAACCAACCCUUGUUAAGUAACAUGUUUGAGUGCAUCCAAAAAAAGGCGCCAGGGCCCAUCUCUAAUAGGAUUUUUAUACUUGAUAGGAAGGGAGGCCCUCCACUACAUAUUUUUUGGUUAUCAAACAGGAGCUUAAAUAUUGA
This 238-nucleotide long non-coding RNA is filed under the name Prunus dulcis (almond). Its description in RNAcentral is "sRNA ncRNA". Lineage: Eukaryota; Viridiplantae; Streptophyta; Magnoliopsida; Rosales; Rosaceae. The record is from RNAcentral.